UGAGCAGUAUGAUCAUAUUUUUUAUACAUAUGAUCACGGAAAGCGCUUCGGUAUGCGAGCUGCGAGAGCAAGCAGCUUCAGAUGAAUGUUUU
Long non-coding RNA from Sinocyclocheilus anshuiensis, 92 nucleotides. RefSeq lists it as uncharacterized. Lineage: Eukaryota; Metazoa; Chordata; Actinopteri; Cypriniformes; Cyprinidae. The transcript has 3 exons. The record is from RefSeq and is a predicted model, not a curated record.